AUGAUGGCCGUGGAGAAGGAGCACAUCCUCACCGACCUGCGCACCUGCCAGCGCCGCAACCAGGACCUCGUGCAGAAGCUGCAACAGUUCCGCCGGAGACGGGGCGCCGACGACCCUGAUCCGUGCGACGUGCAGUAAGAAGCCAGACAAAUAUUUCAAGUGUUGCGGCUACUUUACAAUGUUUUGGUGUGCAAACUUCCACAGUGUGACAAGAUUAAGAAGAGAUUGGCAACAUAAUACCACGGUGUGGCAAAAUCAACUGAUUACAGGCUAUUCCGUAAAUGUCAAGCCUUGCGUGGCAAACUAAGGGCAAAGAGAAUUUGAAAUAGGGGUGGUGUAUGAUGUCAAGCGUCUUAUUUUAACGCGUUCUAUCAUAAUGUGACUCUAAUAGUACAUUAUAAUACAUGUGCGAAAAAUAGGAAAUUCGCAACGAGUGGGGAUAAAUUAAAACAACACCGAAAAGAGUGUUUUAAAUCGACACGAGUUGCGAAUUACGUACUCGCACAUGUAUCCUACAACGUUUUACAGUACACAUGGCCCUUUAAAUUUUUGACAUUACGUAACAAUGUCAAAAUUAUCGCACUAGUUCGGUAAAGUAGCACCAAAUGCGCUGUAAAAUUAGUAACCUUUGUGAUAUUACUUUGCUUUUCUCAGCAUCUUUAAACGCUGUUAUAAAUUAUACUUUUGUUUGAAAAUUACCACUUAUUUAUAGCAUUUUAAACUUCUAAUUUAUCAUGAAACUUUUUAUAAGCAUUUUGUUUUAAAAUGUUAUAGGAAUAUAUCAUAAUUUCAAAUGUCGGGCGUGUUUUUUUUUAUAUUUAACUUGUACUUACAAUAAAGUGACGUCGAUGUGAUCUUUUGUGAUAGAAUAGCAUUUAUCUUAUCGAGGCAAAGCCACUCUUUUAUAUUAUAAAAUUUGUGAUACGACUUUGUAAUUGAUGUGACGAUUAUCUAUUUAAAUAAAUUAAACUUUAUUUUAAUUAA
This is a long non-coding RNA of Cydia pomonella (codling moth), 984 nucleotides long. RefSeq lists it as uncharacterized. Lineage: Eukaryota; Metazoa; Arthropoda; Insecta; Lepidoptera; Tortricidae. The transcript is spliced from 2 exons. The record is from RefSeq and is a predicted model, not a curated record.